CGGUGAAUACGUUCCCGGACCUUGUACACACCGCCCGUCAAGCCAUGGAAGCUGGGUGUACCUAAAGUCAAUAACCGCAAGGAGUCGCCUAGGGUAAAACUAGUAACUGGGGCU
RNAcentral lists this ribosomal RNA (114 nucleotides) under uncultured bacterium. RNAcentral's name for it is "partial 16S ribosomal RNA". It matches the Rfam family "Bacterial small subunit ribosomal RNA", at positions 1360 to 1482 of the family's 1533-position model. The record is from RNAcentral.